This 426-nucleotide ribosomal RNA is filed under the name uncultured Pseudomonas sp. Its description in RNAcentral is "bacterial SSU rRNA". It matches the Rfam family "Bacterial small subunit ribosomal RNA", at positions 956 to 1382 of the family's 1533-position model. Lineage: Bacteria; Pseudomonadati; Pseudomonadota; Gammaproteobacteria; Pseudomonadales; Pseudomonadaceae. The record is from RNAcentral.
GCAACGCGAAGAACCUUACCAGGCCUUGACAUGCAGAGAACUUUCCAGAGAUGGAUUGGUGCCUUCGGGAACUCUGACACAGGUGCUGCAUGGCUGUCGUCAGCUCGUGUCGUGAGAUGUUGGGUUAAGUCCCGCAACGAGCGCAACCCUUGCCUUUAGUUGCCAGCAGUUCGGCUGGGCACUCUAAAGGGACUGCCGGUGUUAAACCGGAGGAAGGUGGGGAUGACGUCAAGUCCUCAUGGCCUUUAUGACCAGGGCUACACACGUACUACAAUGGUCGGUACAAAGGGUUGCCAAGCCGCGAGGUGGAGCUAAUCCCAUAAAACCGAUCGUAGUCCGGAUCGCAGUCUGCAACUCGACUGCGUGAAGUCGGAAUCGCUAGUAAUCGUGAAUCAGAAUGUCACGGUGAAUACGUUCCCGGGCCUU